RNAcentral lists this long non-coding RNA (570 nucleotides) under Ursus maritimus (polar bear). Its description in RNAcentral is "lncRNA (ENSUMAG00000005222.1)". The record is from RNAcentral. Lineage: Eukaryota; Metazoa; Chordata; Mammalia; Carnivora; Ursidae.
AAGUUCCAGCAGCUUCCUCGUCGGUCGACAGUCAGUGGGAAACACUCACUCAGAAGGGAGCACGGUGGCCUUCCGCAACAGGUGUGAGCCUCUCACUGUCUUCUGGCAUCUGGAGGCUGAGCACGGGUCCCCGCUGCAGUGUGUUGAGAACUGGCUUCUGUACAGCCCCACGCACGUGGCUUUCGCUUUCCCUGGCACGUCCCAUAAAGGAGAAGAUGAUAGGCCCGCGAGUGCUAUUUUGGGGACACGGGUGAGACUCCCUGAUAGAGCCUGUCUCCCCAGCAGCCUCAGUCACAUGGCUUGAGUUCCGUUCGUGACGUUCUGGCGGCAACAAAGGAGACCGGUUGCACAGGUCGCGGUGGGCCUUUGUGGAGGACCGCCAAUCUCCCCCAAAUCACUGGCCUUUGAAUCUCUGUUGCAGCCAGCUUUCUUUUUGUAUAUCGGCUCCAUUUAAGGUGAUUAAAAUGGAGAUCGGAUUGGAUAAGGUCGUCCAAAUUCUGUAAACGCUGCUUUCACACAAAUGAACGCUUGCAAUCAAUUUAAUUUUUCAAAUAAAAUGAUUAAAUUCUA